UUUGUUUAAUUUCUCCAUUCUUCAAGUGGUUUUGUGUUUAAAAGUUUCUGUCAUUUAUAAAAGAAUUAUGUCAAGAGGCGGAGCUUAACACAGGCCUGUCAAGCACAGACUAGUUCAGCAUCACAGAUCACUGAGGGAAGCAGGAACCUGUUCAUCAUGUUCACUUGUGCACUUAUAUUGCUGACUUUAACUCAAGGUAACAGAGCUAAAGAGGUCAUCACUCCAUACAGUGAUGCAGCAUUUGCCUCUGAGACCGAGAGUGUCAAACUCUCUUGUAACUACAGCGGUUCUGUUGAUAGUCUUCACUGGUAUCGACAAUAUGCAGGUUCACCACCACAGUUCCUCAUACUGGAUUAUUUAGGACACGUUACUCAAGCUAAACCUCCAGUUCCUGGAAUAUCCAUCAGUCACAGAAAAGAAGCAAACAGUGUGGAUCUGGAGAUCUCCUCUGCUGCAGUAUCAGACUCUGCUCUGUAUUACUGUGCUCUGAGGCCCACAGUCACAGGAAACACAAGAACACUGUACAAAAACCUGACUGAUGUUAGUCUUACAGUGAAAUGUUGUCAAAAACAAUACAUCUCCAUACAGGUAAAUGUCUGAAAAUUAAUUGUAAUUAUUGUAUGAGAGUAUUUCAAUGAACAUUGAUGGAAUAACAAGCUAUAAUCUGUGUGUGUUAUCAUGUUUGAAGAAAUAUAAAUAAGGUCAGCAUUUAUCAUCUAUCAUCUUUUUCAGAUUCACAAAUGUUUUAUUCUUGUUAGACUUGUGGACGUUGUGAAUAAAUGUAAUAAAUGUUUGUCACAUCACCACUGGGGG
Molecule: non-coding RNA, 813 nt
Organism: Ctenopharyngodon idella (grass carp)
Lineage: Eukaryota; Metazoa; Chordata; Actinopteri; Cypriniformes; Xenocyprididae
Source: the annotation of a RefSeq genome assembly